UUUAGCUAAAACAUUCUGUAUAUAGAAAAUCAAUAGCUAAACCUGAUUAGACAGACUUGACUCAUUAACUUGAUUCUUCAUUGUUUUUAAAGACAUUCAGAUUUGGACUUUGGGGAGGCCCCAGUUUAAAGUUGCUAUAUGUCAAUCAUCCCCGUUUUCUCUGUCAAAGAUGAGAAACCCUAGUAGCUCGGUGUCCCAACAUGAAGACCUUGCAGUGAGCCUGGAUUGCACAGACAGGCUUAUAGCAGAGGCAGAGCAGAGGAGGAGAAGGCAUGAGAAAAGUGAAGGGAGAAAAUGACAUAGAACAAAAGACUUUGAGAGGAGUUGAGUAUAGGGAGGGAUAGAGGAAGAACCACGGGUCACUGCUUCAUGGGCUGCUCAGUCAGCUAAGCACAAGUCCUGUAUCAGCCUCCUGUUUCAGUACUCUGUAUCUGAUUACAUGAACAGCAGCAGAAAUUUGGGCCCAAGGUAAUGUGCAGACUGAGGAAUUUCUUAUCAUUCGGAGUUGACCUCAUUACAGCAGUAUAUAUAACGAAGGUACCUAGUGAAAGUGUCUAUGUAUUUUUCUAGGAAAUGGAUUCUUCAGAUGUGAGGAUUACUAAUUUUUAUGUGACCAGUUCUUUUAAAAAAAAUUAUCUUGGAACCUAGAGGUUUUUAUUUCAUAGCUCUGUUUUGUAUAUUUAGUAGUGGUCUAAGUUAUUUGGUGAGUCAGUAGUAGAAGGGUGAUGUGGGGCCUUCAGUUUGCCAUAGAAUCCUUAGGUUUUACUACUUGACCUCCAUAUUAUCCCUUAAUUCUUGUCAUUGUAGCUACAAUUAGGGAUGCAGGGUUAGAACUUAAGUGGCUGCAAUCUGAAUACUACUAAGAAUUCAACGCACAGAGCCUGUUGAUGGCAGCACUGUAGCAUCUAGCACAACUUUCAUGAAUGAGUAUCUUUUUCCUAUAAGGCAAUCAAAAACUACCUGAGAGGCAGCAGGAAUAAAAUGUAAGUUUCUGGGCUUUGUUCUAGAUUUACCCCCCAGUUUUAGUGGAAAGUUAGAAAUUGAUUUGAUUUUAGAAAAGAGUUUUAAUACUGGACAAUUCAACCAUCUUUAGAGCUCCUUGGAAGCUCUUUAAGAACUGUUCUCCCUGUAACUAAUGUCCCUUGACUCUGUAUGUGGCAUUCAUUUUAUUGAUGAACCAAAACAGUUAUCUAUCCAAAGCAUUAAAUAACUUGUUCUUUUGAAGAGCAGUCUGAAUUUUACUUGUUGCUGUCCCUCUGGCUGGCAACUUAAACCUGGGACUGUUGUUCCUGUUUUAUUCACCGGCCUUGGAAAUCAUGUAGUCUAAACAACUUGACUUAAAUUCCUGUUCCAUAAUCCAGUGUCUCUAAUGAUAAGCUGCAUAAUCUUUAGAAUGGGGAAUAUGAAUCAGAUAUCCUUACUGAUCUUUCAUACAGUUGAACUAAUGACAAACUUAAACCAUCUCUUGCAGGAUAUCACUAGACCUCUUGUUUUACUAAAGUCAGUGCAGUCGUUUCUCACAUAAAAAUAUUCUAUACUGAUAUAAUGCUUUUGGCUUGUCUCUCUUCACUCCUCUGUUAAUAUUAGAGUAGUACAUUCAGGUUUGUACUUGUUUGGGAUCAGUAAUGGGAUCAGUAACCAGGAUUGUAAGGGGACUUGUGAAAUAUGAGCACUAGGAAAGGGGUGUUAAGCAGGCAUCACGAGAAGAUUAGGUUAGAUCUUCUUUAACAUUUAUUGCAAAACUUGGUGAUUACCUGAGAUAAUUUUCUGUCCUGAGGAUCCUGUGAUAGCUAGCUACCGUGUAGUCUGUGUUUUAGAAUGAAUGUUGUCAUUCUGAUGACACAAGUAUUUUACGUUUAUGUACAAAGGAGUCCAAUGCCAUCAUUCAGCUGGUCAGCCUUAACAUUCAUAAAGGAUCUGUUUGAUACUCAAUCCAUACCGGGAAAGGCUAACAAAUACUUUUAAAAAUGUUAUUAAGCAAAAAUGCUGGUGUAAGAUCAACAAUUCUUUCAAAAUUGACACCCAACUAAAUACAGUUAGGGAGCAAAUUCUUUUUGAGAUUAGGGCCAAUAUUUAGUAUUAAAUGACUUCAGUUAUUGUUGACAUUGUACUUUUACCUUUGUAUGUGGUCAGCAAACAAGUUCCACAAGUUUAGAGAGAAUCAAGAAUAUAUGCUGCAUUCUCUAAAUAAUGUAAAAUAGCUAAAUUCAUGCUAUCUUCCACCCAAAGAUGUGAAGUUUUGAGCAAUUU
This 2250-nucleotide long non-coding RNA is filed under the name Homo sapiens (human). RNAcentral's name for it is "HSALNT0250869". The record is from RNAcentral. Lineage: Eukaryota; Metazoa; Chordata; Mammalia; Primates; Hominidae.